CGCCCACAUCGCAUAGUGGUAUUGCAUCGGAUUGCUAAUCCGAGCCCUUCGGGGCUCGCAGGUUCGAUUCCUGCUGUGGGCGU
RNAcentral lists this transfer RNA (83 nucleotides) under uncultured archaeon. Its description in RNAcentral is "tRNA-Ser(gct)". It matches the Rfam family "tRNA". From Rfam's summary of the family: Transfer RNA (tRNA) molecules are approximately 80 nucleotides in length. Their secondary structure includes four short double-helical elements and three loops (D, anti-codon, and T loops). Further hydrogen bonds mediate the characteristic L-shaped molecular structure. tRNAs have two regions of fundamental functional importance: the anti-codon, which is responsible for specific mRNA codon recognition, and the 3' end, to which the tRNAs corresponding amino acid is attached (by aminoacyl-tRNA synthetases). tRNAs cope with the degeneracy of the genetic code in two manners: having more than one tRNA (with a specific anti-codon) for a particular amino acid; and 'wobble' base-pairing, i.e. permitting non-standard base-pairing at the 3rd anti-codon position. The record is from RNAcentral.